GACGAACGCUGGCGGCGUGCCUAAUACAUGCAAGUCGAACGCAGUGGGGACGGGUUAGUAACACGUGGCUAACCUCCCAUAAGAGGGGAUAACACUUGGAUACAGCUGCUAAACUCAUACUGGUGGAUGGACUAGCGGUGCAUUAGGUAGUUGGGGGGGUAACGGCUCACCAAGGCAACGAUGCAUAGCCAGCCGGAGAGGGUGACCGGCCAAACUGGGACUGAGACACGGCCCAGACGCCUACGGGAGGCAGCAGUGGGGAAUCUUCGCCAAUGGACGAAAGUCUGACCGAGCAACGCCGCGUGAGUGAAGAAGGUUUUCGGGUCGUAAAACUCUGUUGGUAGAGAGGCGGUAUCUAACCAGAAAGCCACGGCUAACUACGUGCCAGCAGCCGCGGUAAUUC
RNAcentral lists this ribosomal RNA (403 nucleotides) under uncultured bacterium. RNAcentral describes it as "partial 16S ribosomal RNA". It matches the Rfam family "Bacterial small subunit ribosomal RNA", at positions 28 to 526 of the family's 1533-position model. The record is from RNAcentral.